AGCUAGUUGGCGGGGUAGAGGCCCACCAAGGCUACGAUGGCUAGGGGUUCUAAGAGGAUGGUCCCCCACACUGGUACUGAGACACGGACCAGACUCCUACGGGAGGCAGCAGUAGGGAAUAUUGGGCAAUGGCCGAGAGGCUGACCCAGCCAUGCCGCGUGCAGGAAGAAGGCCUUCUGGGUUGUAAACUGCUUUUAUCUGGGAAGAAAACGCUCUUGCGAGAGUAACUGACGGUACCAGAUGAAUAAGCACCGGCUAACUCCGUGCCAGCAGCCGCGGUAAUACGGAGGGUGCAAGCGUUGUCCGGAUUUAUUGGGUUUAAAGGGUGCGUAGGCGGCCCGUUAAGUCAGCGGUGAAAUCCCAGGGCUCAACCCUGGAACU
RNAcentral lists this ribosomal RNA (381 nucleotides) under marine bacterium SIMO-4469. RNAcentral's name for it is "bacterial SSU rRNA". It matches the Rfam family "Bacterial small subunit ribosomal RNA", at positions 243 to 622 of the family's 1533-position model. The record is from RNAcentral.